This 22-nucleotide microRNA is filed under the name Ixodes ricinus (castor bean tick). RNAcentral's name for it is "iri-miR-X1a-5p". Lineage: Eukaryota; Metazoa; Arthropoda; Arachnida; Ixodida; Ixodidae. The record is from RNAcentral.
GCUGUUAGUUUGUGGGCUGGUG